GAUGAACGCUGGCGGCGUGCCUAAUACAUGCAAGUCGAGCGAACGGACGAGAAGCUUGCUUCUCUGAUGUUAGCGGCGGACGGGUGAGUAACACGUGGAUAACCUACCUAUAAGACUGGGAUAACUUCGGGAAACCGGAUCUAAUACCGGAUAAUAUUUUGAACCGCAUGGUUCAAAAGUGAAAGACGGUCUUGCUGUCACUUAUAGCUGGAUCCGCGCUGCAUUAGCUAGUUGGUAAGGUAACGGCUUACCAAGGCAACGAUGCAUAGCCGACCUGAGAGGGUGAUCGGCCACACUGGAACUGGGACACGGUCCAGACUCCUACGGGAGGCAGCAGUAGGGAAUCUUCCGCAAUGGGCGAAAGCCUGACGGAGCAACGCCGCGUGAGUGAUGAAGGUCUUCGGAUCGUAAAACUCUGUUAUUAGGGAAGAACAUAUGUGGAAGUAACUGUGCACAUCUUGACGGUACCUAAUCAGAAAGCCACGGCUAACUACGUG
RNAcentral lists this ribosomal RNA (497 nucleotides) under uncultured bacterium. RNAcentral describes it as "partial 16S ribosomal RNA". It matches the Rfam family "Bacterial small subunit ribosomal RNA", at positions 28 to 507 of the family's 1533-position model. The record is from RNAcentral.